GUAGGAGGAAGCAGUGCGGGGUGAUGGAGGAGGAGCUGGCACGAAUACUCUAUUAUACUUGAUGGUGUACAAUUGGUCAAGUGGCAGCAGAGGAGGAGCGAAGGAGGGGGAUCGGGAUGGAUGUGGCAGUGGCGGAAGAGGAGUAGGAGGAAGCAGAGGAGAGGACGGAGGAGGAGGAGGCAGAGCGGCCGGUGGUGGUGGAGGUGAGGAAUGGAUGUGGCAGCAGCGGCAAAGUGUAGAGGGAGGAAGAUAAGGGGGAAUGAGGAUUGGGUUAGGCUAAGAGUGGCGGCAUCACUAUUAGGUACGGCUAGGACUAGACAUGCGACACAUACGGCCCUUCUACUGCAUCAUUGCAGGGCAUGGCCCCCUCCUACUUGCAGAUCUGAGGGGAGGUAGGAUGGGACUGCAUUUGUGUCACCCUUAGGGUGAUUGAUCUCCAUUACCUCUAGUGGGUGUUGACUAUCUAUAGAUUUCUUCUUGUGUCAUUGAUCCAUAAGUUUUCUCUGCUAACCUAUUUGAUUGAGUUUUCUAUUUGCAUGAACCUAUUGAUCCAUCAACAACUCCAUGUCUACAGAAAUCACCGCCUCGUCUUCGAUCUCUCAGGGGUGUUGUUGACACGACUCUGUGCUCUGAGCCAAUCUAGGUGCCCGGAUACCCAGUCAUGGUCACACUGGAUUAUCAUCCUUGGACUGUUCUGCAUGACCACAAGCCGUCGCAGCCCUGAGAGGUAGCAACAUUAUGCUAAUAGAGAGCUAGAGAUAUUCCAAGACAUCCAUAUUUCAC
RNAcentral lists this long non-coding RNA (783 nucleotides) under Setaria italica (foxtail millet). Its description in RNAcentral is "long non-coding RNA (SITA_LNC005823)". Lineage: Eukaryota; Viridiplantae; Streptophyta; Magnoliopsida; Poales; Poaceae. The record is from RNAcentral.